UGACUCGCGGUAACAGGCU
This 19-nucleotide unclassified non-coding RNA is filed under the name Chlamydomonas reinhardtii. RNAcentral's name for it is "small RNA Cre_2893". Lineage: Eukaryota; Viridiplantae; Chlorophyta; Chlorophyceae; Chlamydomonadales; Chlamydomonadaceae. The record is from RNAcentral.